GAUGAAGAACGUAGCGAAAUGCGAUACUUGGUGUGAAUUGCAGAAUCCCGUGAACCAUCGAGUCUUUGAACGCAAGUUGCGCCCGAAGCCACUAGGCCGAGGGCACGCCUGCCUGGGCGUCACACGCCGUUGCCCCCCCAUCUACUCCUUCGGGAUUGCGGGGGGGCGGAUGAUGGCCUCCCGUGCGCCUAGCCGCGCGGUUGGCAUAAAUACCAAGUCCUCGGCGACGCACGCCACGACAAUCGGUGGUUGCGAAACCUCGGUUGCCCGUCGUGUGCGUUCGUCGCGCAUCGAGGGCUCGAAAAAAUGCUCGGCUCCGGCUGGGCUUUCAACGCGACCCCAGGUCAGGCGGGGUUCCCGCUGAAUUUAAGCAUAUCAAUAAGCGGAGGA
Molecule: unclassified non-coding RNA, 390 nt
Filed under: soil metagenome
Description: partial contains 5.8S ribosomal RNA, internal transcribed spacer 2, and large subunit ribosomal RNA
Rfam family: 5.8S ribosomal RNA (bases 1-122)
Source: RNAcentral